AGGGAUCAUUACUGAGUUUACGCUCUACAACCCUUUGUGAACAUACCUAUAACUGUUGCUUCGGCGGGCAGGGUCUCCGUGACCCUCCCGGCCUCCCGCCCCCGGGCGGGUCGGCGCCCGCCGGAGGAUAACCAAACUCUGAUUUAACGACGUUUCUUCUGAGUGGUACAAGCAAAUAAUCAAAACUUUUAACAACGGAUCUCUUGGUUCUGGCAUCGAUGAAGAACGCAGCGAAAUGCGAUAAGUAAUGUGAAUUGCAGAAUUCAGUGAAUCAUCGAAUCUUUGAACGCACAUUGCGCCCGCCAGCAUUCUGGCGGGCAUGCCUGUUCGAGCGUCAUUUCAACCCUCAAGCUCUGCUUGGUGUUGGGGCCCUACGGCUGACGUAGGCCCUCAAAGGUAGUGGCGGACCCUCCCGGAGCCUCCUUUGCGUAGUAACUUUACGUCUCGCACUGGGAUCCGGAGGGACUCUUGCCGUAAAACCCCCAAUUUUCCAAAGGUUGACCUCGGAUCAGGUAGGAAUACCCGCUGAACUUAA
RNAcentral lists this ribosomal RNA (535 nucleotides) under Colletotrichum cigarro. RNAcentral describes it as "eukaryotic LSU rRNA". The stretch from base 184 to 337 matches the Rfam family "5.8S ribosomal RNA". Lineage: Eukaryota; Fungi; Ascomycota; Sordariomycetes; Glomerellales; Glomerellaceae. The record is from RNAcentral.